Ictidomys tridecemlineatus (thirteen-lined ground squirrel) is the source of this 92-nucleotide small nuclear RNA. The record is from Ensembl. Lineage: Eukaryota; Metazoa; Chordata; Mammalia; Rodentia; Sciuridae.
GUGCUUGCUUCGGCAGCACAUAUACUAAAAUUGGAAUGACAUGGCCCCUGCACAAAGAUGACAUGCAAAUUUAUGAAGCAUUCUGUAUUUUU